AGAGUUUGAUCCUGGCUCAGAACGAACGCUGGCGGCAGGCUUAACACAUGCAAGUCGAACGCCCCGCAAGGGGAGUGGCAGACGGGUGAGUAACGCGUGGGAACAUACCCAACUCUACGGAAUAACUCAGGGAAACUUGUGCUAAUACCGUAUACGCCCUUUGGGGGAAAGAUUUAUCGGAGUUGGAUUGGCCCGCGUUGGAUUAGCUAGUUGGUGGGGUAAAGGCCUACCAAGGCGACGAUCCAUAGCUGGUCUGAGAGGAUGAUCAGCCACAUUGGGACUGAGACACGGCCCAAACUCCUACGGGAGGCAGCAGUGGGGAAUAUUGGACAAUGGGCGCAAGCCUGAUCCAGCCAUGCCGCGUGUGUGAUGAAGGCCUUAGGGUUGUAAAGCACUUUCACCGGAGAAGAUAA
This 413-nucleotide ribosomal RNA is filed under the name barley rhizosphere bacterium LJ43. Its description in RNAcentral is "bacterial SSU rRNA". It matches the Rfam family "Bacterial small subunit ribosomal RNA", at positions 8 to 451 of the family's 1533-position model. The record is from RNAcentral.